GACGAACGCUGGCGGCGUGCUUAACACAUGCAAGUCGAACGGAAAGGCCCAGCUUGCUGGGUGCUCGAGUGGCGAACGGGUGAGUAACACGUGGGUGAUCUGCCCCUAACUUCGGGAUAAGCUUGGGAAACUGGGUCUAAUACCGGAUAGGACAAUCGUUUAGUGUCGGUUGUGGAAAGUUUUUUCGGUUAGGGAUGGGCCCGCGGCCUAUCAGCUUGUUGGUGGGGUAAUGGCCUACCAAGGCGUCGACGGGUAGCCGGCCUGAGAGGGUGGACGGCCACAUUGGGACUGAGAUACGGCCCAGACUCCUACGGGAGGCAGCAGUGGGGAAUAUUGCACAAUGGGCGCAAGCCUGAUGCAGCGACGCCGCGUGGGGGAUGACGGCCUUCGGGUUGUAAACCUCUUUCGACAGGGACGAAGCUUUGGUGACGGUACCUGUAUAAGAAGCACCGGCUAACUACGUG
This 464-nucleotide ribosomal RNA is filed under the name uncultured bacterium. RNAcentral describes it as "partial 16S ribosomal RNA". It matches the Rfam family "Bacterial small subunit ribosomal RNA", at positions 28 to 507 of the family's 1533-position model. The record is from RNAcentral.